Long non-coding RNA from Lolium rigidum, 1446 nucleotides. RefSeq lists it as uncharacterized. The record is from RefSeq and is a predicted model, not a curated record. The transcript is spliced from 4 exons. NCBI's taxonomy places the organism in Eukaryota, Viridiplantae, Streptophyta, Magnoliopsida, Poales, Poaceae.
UGAACGCCGCGGUAGCCUCUUCCAGCGCAAUGGCCUCUUCCCUCCCUUCUGCUCAAAUUAAGAGGGGGGAAGGGGACGUUGGCAAAUUAGAGCCUGACAGAAGGUUCGUUAGCGUCGUGCUUGUCAUCUCGUCGAGCCCCUCCUUCAGUGCUUGAUCAAAUCACGCGGGUUUGCGAGCUGCUCGACGGAAUUCGCCACAGGAGUAGGAAGUGGAAAGAAGAAAAGGAUCAGAAGAAGCCAUCGACGGGGGACGGGGGAGAGGUUUGAUGUAGACGGGGAGGACGACGCAAUGGCAGUGGAUGAGGGGAGGGGAUGUGCCUGUAUGCGUGCGCCGCAGAGCGUGGCGGCCGACCAUCACGGGCGGAGCCGCUGCAGCCUCUCUUCUCCUCUUCUCGAAGAGGAACUGAGAUUAGACUAGAGCUACUCCCGCUGUUGUUACCUCCUUACUCUUGAUGAUUACACCUUGAUUAAAGACUGAUCACCCGAUAAUAGGAUGAUGCUCUGUUUUCCUCUUAAUCUUUCAGUCCGUUCCAACUGUGAGCUCUCACAUAAACGAGUAGAUUCUUCUUUCCAAUCAGGUAAUUUAUGGCAUUCAAUCUUGUGUGCACAGCUAUCUCACUGCACAUGAUUGACAUUCAUGUAGAUGGUUUUUAAUCAUUUCUGAAGAUACUCUUAUUCCUUGUUGUAGCGAAGAUAUUCUUAUUCCUUGGUGUAGUUUUCCGUUACAGAAUAUUUCAGAAUUAGCGUGGGUGUGAGAUGGAUCAGUGUCACUUCGGGUUCAUCAGGCUGAUCGUGCUCAUCUAUCAUCUGCUCUUUGUUGCUGAGCUUGAAAUAUACUCAACAUGAUACACGUCAGCUGCCUCCAGUUCAAGAAUUACAAGAUGCAAGAAGAACUGAAAUCAUGCUUCGAGCAAACUUUGAUCAAUGAUGUAGUGCUAGCAUUUACAUUAAAUUUCCGCUGCAGCUGAAACAAAAGAGUGCUGGAACGGAGAACAACUUCACCUCAUGUUCACACUGUCAGCUAGCUUUAGUAGAAAUAUCUGAAGGUUCUGUGAUAAUUUUGUCAUCCUUUGCAAGCUACAAAAUGAAGCAGAUGAUAUUGAAUAUUUCGGAGAAGCUGCUGCAUUGGCUAUUUGACUAGGUACAGAACAAGUGCCAGUAGCUUACUUUUGUCAUUUAGCAGCCAUAGAAGAUCAGUUCUGGUUUUCUCUAAGAAUGCAUUAGUAGGUACUGUCUAUUUAAUACCUUUGAAAUCAUGAAUUCAUAUAGCUGCCUCUAAGUUCCCUUAUAUCCCUAGAGUAGCACGGACUCGAAAUGGAGAUCAUGAGAAAAUUUUACAAAGUCCACACAGAAAAUGUAUUGUUAAGUUGCUAAAUACAAAAUAAUUGCAGGUAAUUCGUCUUUAAGCAUUUAAUCAGCCACCUCGAAAAAACAUUUAAUCAGUUA